GUCUAUGGCCAUACCACCCUGAAUGCACCUGAUCUCAUGAAGCUAAGUGGGGUGGGGUCUAGUUAGUACUUGGAUGGGAGAGAUAAAUAAAUUAUGGUACAUCUGUGCAAAGGAACACUAUGCAGCCUUUAAAA
RNAcentral lists this ribosomal RNA (134 nucleotides) under Vicugna pacos (alpaca). Lineage: Eukaryota; Metazoa; Chordata; Mammalia; Artiodactyla; Camelidae. The record is from RNAcentral.